UCGAACGGUCUCUCGCAAGAGAGAUAGUGGCAAACGGGUGAGUAAUAGAUAAACAACCUGCCUUUUAAGUGGGGGAUAACACUUCGAAAGAAGUGCUAAUACCGCAUGUGGUGCUCUUUCAUAAGAAGGAUCACUAAAACCGCAAAGGUGCUUGAAGAGGGGUUUGUCUCCCGAUUAGCUUGUUGGUGGGGUAAUGGCCUACCAAGGCAAUGAUCGGUAGCUGGUCUGAGAGGAUGGUCAGCCACACUGGAACUGAGAUACGGUCCAGACUCC
RNAcentral lists this ribosomal RNA (273 nucleotides) under unidentified marine bacterioplankton. RNAcentral's name for it is "partial 16S ribosomal RNA". It matches the Rfam family "Bacterial small subunit ribosomal RNA", at positions 62 to 339 of the family's 1533-position model. The record is from RNAcentral.